RNAcentral lists this ribosomal RNA (254 nucleotides) under uncultured bacterium. Its description in RNAcentral is "partial 16S ribosomal RNA". It matches the Rfam family "Bacterial small subunit ribosomal RNA", at positions 524 to 776 of the family's 1533-position model. The record is from RNAcentral.
UACAGAGGUCCCGAGCGUUGUUCGGAUUCACUGGGCGUAAAGGGCGCGUAGGUGGCUUGGUAAGUUUGAUGUGAAAUCUCCGGGCUUAACCCGGAAAAUGCAUUGAAUACUAUUUGAGCUUGAGGAUUGGAGGGGGGACUGGAAUUCUUGGUGUAGCAGUGAAAUGCGUAGAUAUCAAGAGGAACACCAGUGGCGAAGGCGAGUCCCUGGACAACACCUGACACUGAGGCGCGAAAGCUAGGGGAGCAAUCAGG